RNAcentral lists this non-coding RNA (70 nucleotides) under Candidatus Microgenomatota. The record is from RNAcentral.
AUAAGGAUUGGGCAAGGAAGGUUAAUUUCCUUCACAGUGCCGCUACCGUAAAGUCGGAAAACCACCUUAU